UACGUAGGGCGCAAGCGUUAUCCGGAAUUAUUGGGCGUAAAGAGCUCGUAGGCGGUUUGUCGCGUCUGCCGUGAAAGUCCGGGGCUCAACUCCGGAUCUGCGGUGGGUACGGGCAGACUAGAGUGAUGUAGGGGAGACUGGAAUUCCUGGUGUAGCGGUGAAAUGCGCAGAUAUCAGGAGGAACACCGAUGGCGAUGGCAGGUCUCUGGGCAUUAACUGACGCUGAGGAGCGAAAGCAUGGGGAGCGAACAGG
This 253-nucleotide ribosomal RNA is filed under the name uncultured bacterium. RNAcentral's name for it is "partial 16S ribosomal RNA". It matches the Rfam family "Bacterial small subunit ribosomal RNA", at positions 524 to 776 of the family's 1533-position model. The record is from RNAcentral.